RNAcentral lists this ribosomal RNA (1372 nucleotides) under uncultured bacterium. Its description in RNAcentral is "bacterial SSU rRNA". It matches the Rfam family "Bacterial small subunit ribosomal RNA", at positions 28 to 1381 of the family's 1533-position model. The record is from RNAcentral.
GAUGAACGCUGGCGGCGUGCCUAAUACAUGCAAGUCGAGCGAACGGACGAGAAGCUUGCUUCUCUGAUGUUAGCGGCGGACGGGUGAGUAACACGUGGAUAACCUACCUAUAAGACUGGGAUAACUUCGGGAAACCGGAGCUAAUACCGGAUAAUAUUUUGAACCGCAUGGUUCAAAAGUAAAAGACGGUCUUGCUGUCACUUAUAGAUGGAUCCGCGCUGCAUUAGCUAGUUGGUAAGGUAACGGCUUACCAAGGCAACGAUGCAUAGCCGACCUGAGAGGGUGAUCGGCCACACUGGAACUGAGACACGGUCCAGACUCCUACGGGAGGCAGCAGUAGGGAAUCUUCCGCAAUGGGCGAAAGCCUGACGGAGCAACGCCGCGUGAGUGAUGAAGGUCUUCGGAUCGUAAAACUCUGUUAUUAGGGAAGAAUAUAUGUGUAAGUAACUGUGCACAUCUUGACGGUACCUAAUCAGAAAGCCACGGCUAACUACGUGCCAGCAGCCGCGGUAAUACGUAGGUGGCAAGCGUUAUCCGGAAUUAUUGGGCGUAAAGCGCGCGUAGGCGGUUUUUUAAGUCUGAUGUGAAAGCCCACGGCUCAACCGUGGAGGGUCAUUGGAAACUGGAAAACUUGAGUGCAGAAGAGGAAAGUGGAAUUCCAUGUGUAGCGGUGAAAUGCGCAGAGAUAUGGAGGAACACCAGUGGCGAAGGCGACUUUCUGGUCUGUAACUGACGCUGAUGUGCGAAAGCGUGGGGAUCAAACAGGAUUAGAUACCCUGGUAGUCCACGCCGUAAACGAUGAGUGCUAAGUGUUAGGGGGUUUCCGCCCCUUAGUGCUGCAGCUAACGCAUUAAGCACUCCGCCUGGGGAGUACGACCGCAAGGUUGAAACUCAAAGGAAUUGACGGGGACCCGCACAAGCGGUGGAGCAUGUGGUUUAAUUCGAAGCAACGCGAAGAACCUUACCAAAUCUUGACAUCCUUUGACAACUCUAGAGAUAGAGCCUUCCCCUUCGGGGGACAAAGUGACAGGUGGUGCAUGGUUGUCGUCAGCUCGUGUCGUGAGAUGUUGGGUUAAGUCCCGCAACGAGCGCAACCCUUAAGCUUAGUUGCCAUCAUUAAGUUGGGCACUCUAAGUUGACUGCCGGUGACAAACCGGAGGAAGGUGGGGAUGACGUCAAAUCAUCAUGCCCCUUAUGAUUUGGGCUACACACGUGCUACAAUGGACAAUACAAAGGGCAGCGAAACCGCGAGGUCAAGCAAAUCCCAUAAAGUUGUUCUCAGUUCGGAUUGUAGUCUGCAACUCGACUACAUGAAGCUGGAAUCGCUAGUAAUCGUAGAUCAGCAUGCUACGGUGAAUACGUUCCCGGGUCU